UACAGAGGUCUCAAGCGUUGUUCGGAUUCAUUGGGCGUAAAGGGUGCGUAGGCGGCGCGGUAAGUCGGGUGUGAAAUCUCGGGGCUUAACUCCGAAACUGCAUUCGAUACUGCGGUGCUUGAGGACUGGAGAGGAGACUGGAAUUCAUGGUGUAGCAGUGAAAUGCGUAGAUAUCGGAAGGAACACCGGUGGCGAAAGCGGCGCGCUGGAUCUCUUCUGACGCUGAGGCGCGAAAGCCAGGGGAGCGAACGGG
Molecule: ribosomal RNA, 253 nt
Filed under: uncultured prokaryote
Description: partial 16S ribosomal RNA
Rfam family: Bacterial small subunit ribosomal RNA
Source: RNAcentral